RNAcentral lists this ribosomal RNA (1370 nucleotides) under uncultured bacterium. RNAcentral describes it as "bacterial SSU rRNA". It matches the Rfam family "Bacterial small subunit ribosomal RNA". The record is from RNAcentral.
AGAGUUUGAUCCUGGCUCAGAACGAACGCUGGCGGCGUGGAUAAGACAUGCAAGUCGAACGAGAGAAUUGCUAGCUUGCUAAUAAUUCUCUAGUGGCGCACGGGUGAGUAACACGUGAGUAACCUGCCCCCGAGAGCGGGAUAGCCCUGGGAAACUGGGAUUAAUAACGCAUAGUAUCGAAAGAUUAAAGCAGCAAUGCGCUUGGGGAUGGGCUCGCGGCCUAUUAGUUAGUUGGUGAGGUAACGGCUCACCAAGGCGAUGACGGGUAGCCGGUCUGAGAGGAUGUCCGGCCACACUGGAACUGAGACACGGUCCAGACACCUACGGGUGGCAGCAGUCGAGAAUCAUUCACAAUGGGGGAAACCCUGAUGGUGCGACGCCGCGUGGGGGAAUGAAGGUCAUCGGAUUGUAAACCCCUGUCAUGUGGGAGCAAAUUAAAAAGAUAGUACCACAAGAGGAAGAGACGGCUAACUCUGUGCCAGCAGCCGCGGUAAUACAGAGGUCUCAAGCGUUGUUCGGAAUCACUGGGCGUAAAGCGUGCGUAGGCUGUUUCGUAAGUCGUGUGUGAAAGGCGCGGGCUCAACCCGCGAACGGCACAUGAUACUGCGAGACUAGAGUAAUGGAGGGGGAACCGGAAUUCUCGGUGUAGCAGUGAAAUGCGUAGAUAUCGAGAGGAACACUCGUGGCGAAGGCGGGUUCCUGGACAUUAACUGACGCUGAGGCACGAAGGCCAGGGGAGCGAAAGGGAUUAGAUACCCCUGUAGUCCUGGCAGUAAACGGUGCACGCUUGGUGUGCGGGGAAUCGACCCCCUGCGUGCCGGAGCUAACGCGUUAAGCGUGCCGCCUGGGGAGUACGGUCGCAAGAUUAAAACUCAAAGAAAUUGACGGGGACCCGCACAAGCGGUGGAGUAUGUGGCUUAAUUCGAUGCAACGCGAAGAACCUUACCUGGGCUUGACAUGUAAUGAACAACAUGUGAAAGCAUGCGACUCUUCGGAGGCGUUACACAGGUGCUGCAUGGCCGUCGUCAGCUCGUGUCGUGAGAUGUUUGGUUAAGUCCAGCAACGAGCGCAACCCCUGUUGCCAGUUACCAGCACGUGAAGGUGGGGACUCUGGCGAGACUGCCCAGAUCAACUGGGAGGAAGGUGGGGACGACGUCAGGUCAGUAUGGCCCUUAUGCCCAGGGCUGCACACGUACUACAAUGCCCAGUACAGAGGGGGCCGAAGCCGCGAGGCGGAGGAAAUCCUAAAAACUGGGCCCAGUUCGGACUGUAGGCUGCAACCCGCCUACACGAAGCCGGAAUCGCUAGUAAUGGCGCAUCAGCUACGGCGCCGUGAAUACGUUCCCGGGUCUUGCACACACCGCCCGUCA